Molecule: ribosomal RNA, 254 nt
Filed under: uncultured bacterium
Lineage: Bacteria
Description: partial small subunit ribosomal RNA
Rfam family: Bacterial small subunit ribosomal RNA
Source: RNAcentral
AGGACGAACGCUGGCGGCGUGCUUAACACAUGCAAGUCGAGCGGAAAGGCCCUUCGGGGUACUCGAGCGGCGAACGGGUGAGUAACACGUGAGCAACCUGCCCCUGGCUCUGGGAUAGCCUCCGGAAACGGGGAUUAAUACCGGACAUGACCCUUGACCGCAUGGUUGGGGGUGGAAAGUUUUUCGGCCAGGGUGGGCUCGCGGCCUAUCAGCUUGUUGGGGGGGUGACGGCCCACCAAGGCGACGACGGGUAG